GGAGAGGUACGCAAGUGGUUGAAGCGGACGGUCUCGAAAACCGUUAUGCCCGAAAGGGUAUCGUGGGUUCGAAUCCCACCCUCUCCGCCA
This 90-nucleotide transfer RNA is filed under the name Acidobacteriota bacterium. Its description in RNAcentral is "Acidobacteria bacterium tRNA-Ser". It matches the Rfam family "tRNA". Rfam says of the family: Transfer RNA (tRNA) molecules are approximately 80 nucleotides in length. Their secondary structure includes four short double-helical elements and three loops (D, anti-codon, and T loops). Lineage: Bacteria; Pseudomonadati; Acidobacteriota. RNAcentral also lists the same sequence under 2 other names. The record is from RNAcentral.